UAAUCUUCUGUCUUAAGAGCACCCAGGAUGUGUUUUCAUUGGUACGGAAUUAGCUAGCCCUGGGAAAGACAGUCCCUCCAGAGUUAGCAACACCCCAAGAUGUCAAAGAUAAAAAUGCAAAAAUUAAAACUCCAUGAUUAACACAACUUUGAAGUCCUUCUCACUUGUCUUUAGAUGAAGGGCAACAUCAUUGCAACAAGUCACACUUUGAGAACUCAAGAGAAUAUGUUUGUUCUGAAAAUCCAGGAAUUAUUGCCAACCCAUGGUUGUCUCCAUAUGUCUUGGGAAAAAUAGGAAAAGGAUUUUUUGAGUUGGUGAUUUGAAUCCAAGACACAAAGAUUCAGGCUCUGGUAAAAAGAUUGUAUAGGCUAUAUUGGCUGACAUAAAAGGUAAGAGCAAGAAUGCAGAGGAUUUCUAUCAACAUAAAGAAGAGUCAAAGGUGGAGAAUAAGAGAAGUUAAGUGGUUUUCCUAAGAUCACAUAAUUAAGACUUAUUAAUAAAAAGUUUGAUGCUCUUUCUAUUAUAACGACAUAAAAGGCACACAAUGAAAUCUUAAUAAAUGUAUUGGAUGUUGCAGCAUUAACUGAUGAGCCAGACAAUGUAAAGACCUCAGACUACCAAAUGUUUUGAAAGACGAAUAGUGAAUGUGAAACUGUGAACCAAAAUAGAUUUUUAGAAUCCUUGAAAAAAUAGAGCUAGAGAAAGUCUUUGAGACCAUUGAUUGCAAAUAUUUGAGUUUACAACUGAGCAAAUGGAGAAAAGAGAAGUGACUCGUCAGUCCAACAAGUGGCAGAAUCAGAACCAGACCCCAAUGCUUGGGUCUUCUGUCCCUCCUGGCACCAAAGUCACCUAUCAUAAGUAACUUGAGUUUCAGAGGGGAAGGAAAAGACUACAAUGUCCCAGCACUGUUCCAGACACUUUUUAGGGGACUCCAAGACACCUUGUGUAAUGCCUAUUUUAAGUAGCUGGAAGAUUCUAUAGCAUGGGAAAAGCCCACUGAAGGCAAAAGUAAACAUUACCUAUUGUGGUCCUGGAAAAGAAAAUCAUCUCUCAUUUAUCUCCUGGAGCUGUUUGACGAACUUGGGCCCUGGUUUUACUUUGGGAGCCACCUUUCUCUUUCAGGUGCUGUCUCAGUGGAAUAGUCAACCAAUGUAUCCUACAUUUUGGACCAGCAGAAGGAAGUAAUGAGAACAGAAAACAAAUAAGAAGUGAGUUGGAGGGAGAAGGAGACUUUAGCAUCUUCCUGAAAUCAGGAAGAAAGUUUCAAGAAUAAAGUAAUCCAUAGGGUCAAAUACUGCAGUAAGUUUAAUUAGGAUGAAGACUGCAAAGAUGGUAUUAGUUUGGUACUUAGGACAUUGGUGACCUCCACAGGUGACUUUCAGGAGAAUUAUCUGGGGAACUUGUUGAUAGAAUUUGUGAAUCUCCACCUUUAGGGAUUCUGAUUUAGAAGGAGUAGGAAGAAGGCCUUAGGAUCUCCAUUUAUAACAACCACUACUGAUUAUUUUGAGGCAGGUAGCAUACAGACCACAUUUGAAAGAAACACUAGGUAAGUGUGAUUUUCAUUCAAAGGACAAAAAACAUAAAGUUACCUAAUUCAGGGACCAUUUCAAAGACCAAAUCAAAUCAGUAGCCUGGCUGAUCUGAUCGACUGCGCAGAAACUAGCCAUUACCAUGGCAAAGUGGGGAGGAACAGUCAAUAAAAAGCAAUUGAUGGCCAGGCGCGGUGGCUCACGCCUGUAAUCCCAGC
This 1747-nucleotide long non-coding RNA is filed under the name Homo sapiens (human). RNAcentral's name for it is "HSALNT0020922". Lineage: Eukaryota; Metazoa; Chordata; Mammalia; Primates; Hominidae. The record is from RNAcentral.